Molecule: ribosomal RNA, 253 nt
Filed under: uncultured bacterium
Lineage: Bacteria
Description: partial 16S ribosomal RNA
Rfam family: Bacterial small subunit ribosomal RNA
Source: RNAcentral
UACGGAGGGUGCAAGCGUUAUCCGGAAUCACUGGGUUUAAAGGGCGCGUAGGCGGCUUAAUAAGUCAGAGGUGAAAGGCUGUGGCUCAACCAUGGGAUUGCCUUUGAUACUGUUAGGCUUGAAUCAGGCUGAGGUUGGCAGAAUGUGGCAUGUAGCGGUGAAAUGCAUAGAGAUGCCAUAGAAUACCGAUUGCGAAGGCAGCUGACUGGCCCGUGAUUGACGCUGAGGCACGAAAGCGUGGGGAGCGAACAGC